AUCACGGUAGAGAAGGAGUAAAGAAAGUAUCAGCUGAUGUUAUGUAAACAAAGGCACAGCUGAGAGGUGCCACUGUAGAAACGCCAAGUGUAGUCCGGGGUUGAGUUUCUAUUUGAAUCCAAGAUGGCCGACUUUUAACCGGAAAAUGGUUGCAUUGUGUUAUUUUCUUAUAAUUUAUGUAAAAGUUGUCCCAAAAAUAUUGGUUAUAUGUAAAAGUUUAAUAUAUUUUCAAAAGAAAAUCGUUUUAUUUUAAUAUAUAUUCUUAAAGAUGAGAACAAUAUGAGCAAAUACAUGAAAAAUUAAGUUUUUUAUUUAUGCCUCUUUUUAACUGUGGUAAGUCAAUAAAUGUUCACCACAGAAAAAUGUUACGAACAAAUAAGCAACCAUGCCGAAUAGUGGGGUCUAGAUUAUGCUCAUUCACAGCCAUAUUUAUAUUUUUGCCAUCGUAACGAAGGUUUUUGCAAAGACAAUUUGUUUUAGUUUAUUUCAUGGUUAAAUCCUUUGCGAUGGUUUAUUUAGUUAUUUUAAUCUAUAAAAAGUGUUUACAAUUUUCAUGGGACGAUAAACAUCAGAUCGGCUGCGAUUUUAUUCCAAUAAAAGUACGAAAUAACCAAACAUGGCCACGUUAAUAUUGCUGCGUAAUGGGUCUGGUGCUGUUACAAUUUUAUGAUUUAAGAGAUAGUCAAAUGUAGUUAUCAAAUUAGUUGGCCGUGAAUUCGAGACAAAAUUUUAAAUUCAAUGGCGUUCUCGUGUAAGAGAUCGCAUUGCUAGAAUCAGCAAAGGAGCUGGUGUAGAACGCUAGUCCCAAACCAAUGAGCUUUGUGCUUGAGGGUGGAAGCAACUUUUUGAAGAGCAAAUACUACGGUGAGCACAUUCGGAUGUUGCAUAACCUAUUGUAAAUUGCGCUUAGAAUCCCGGUACUGCUGGUCAGGUUUAUCAGGCUGUUGGCUAAACACCCACCUUGCAGGCCAAAGCGUUACCAUUUGAGCGAAUUAAGUGACUGGUUUCAUCGUGUUAUGCGCAAAGAUGAAAAAUGGUGGGGAUACCGUCAUUGAGACAUGUGUUGUGAUCCUACCUUCUUAUUGAAAGCCAAGUUCACGAAUGUAUUACCGAUGUCGUUCCCUCCAACAUACCGUGGUUGAAGAAUUUUGGUGUACAAUCAAUGGAAGAGC
Long non-coding RNA from Bactrocera dorsalis (oriental fruit fly), 1172 nucleotides. RefSeq lists it as uncharacterized. NCBI's taxonomy places the organism in Eukaryota, Metazoa, Arthropoda, Insecta, Diptera, Tephritidae. The record is from RefSeq and is a predicted model, not a curated record. The transcript is spliced from 3 exons.